AUUGGUCAAUAGCCUAACGGCUGAACCAGCAACUUGGAGGAAUGUAUAGCAAUAGCUAAUUGCAUCAAUAAUUCUUUGUGAAAUUGAUGCAAUAUCGACUAUGUCGAAUAAAAUUCUAGGUAGAAUUAUGAUAAUGACAUUGUCUGCCUAUGUGUCUUGACCAAAUUACGUGCCAGCAGUCGCGGUAAUACGUAGAAGACUAGUGUUAUUCAUCUUUAAUAGGUUUAAAGGGUACCUAGACGGUAAAUCAAGCCUGUAAUAAGGGACUAAUAUACUAGAGUUACUUACGAGGGGGUAUUAAAGUACUGCUGGUGUAGAGAUGAAAUUCGAUCAUACCUCGUUUCGUGAGAAACACUAUGGCACAGGUAUAGGCGAAAGCAUCCCCUUAUGUGAUAACUGACGUUGAAGGACGAAGGCUUUGUGUAGCGAACAGGAUUAGAUACCCCAGUAGUCAAAGCAGAAAAUGAUGAAUGUCAUAGAUUAGACAUAUAAUAGUUUAUUCUAUAAAUGAAAGUGUAAGCAUUCCACCUCAAGAGUAAUUUGGCAACAUUGGAACUGAAAUCAUUAGACCGUUUCUGAAACCAGUAGUGAAGUAUGUUGUUUAAUUUGAUAAUCCGCAAAAAACCUUACCACAAUUUGAAUAUUUAUAUAAUAUUUCCUUUUUCGAUUUUUUUUCUUCAAGAAAAAAAAGAUGAAAAAGAAAAUAUAAAUAUAUUUACAAGCGUUGCACGGCUGUCUUCAGUUAAUGUCGUGAGAUUCUGGUUAGUUCCAUUAAUUAACGUAAACCCUUACUUUAUUUUUAUAUAGAGUUGUUCCCCGCUAGAUUGGAUAAGAUAACAGGGACUAAGACAAGUCAUCAUGGCCUAAA
Molecule: ribosomal RNA, 868 nt
Filed under: Lecanora quercicola
Lineage: Eukaryota; Fungi; Ascomycota; Lecanoromycetes; Lecanorales; Lecanoraceae
Description: SSU rRNA
Rfam family: Bacterial small subunit ribosomal RNA
Source: RNAcentral